CCUACGGGAGGCAGCAGUAGGGAAUAUUGCUCAAUGGGGGAAACUCUGAAGCAGCAACGCCGCGUGGAGGAUGACGGUUCUCGGAUUGUAAACUCCUUUUGUUAGAGAAGAAAAUGACGGUAUCUAACGAAUAAGCACCGGCUAACUCCGUGCCAGCAGCCGCGGUAAUACGGAGGGUGAAAGCGUUACUCGGAAUCACUGGGCGUAAAGGGCGCGUAGGCGGGAUAGCAAGUCAGAUGUGAAAUCCUAUGGCUUAACCAUAGAACUGCAUUUGAAACUGUUUUUCUUGAGUAUGGGAGAGGUAGGUGGAAUUCUUGGUGUAGGGGUAAAAUCCGUAGAGAUCAAGAGGAAUACUCAUUGCGAAGGCGACCUGCUGGAACAUAACUGACGCUGAUGCGCGAAAGCGUGGGGAGCAAACAGGAUUAGAUACCCUGGUAGUC
This 440-nucleotide ribosomal RNA is filed under the name uncultured bacterium. Its description in RNAcentral is "partial 16S ribosomal RNA". It matches the Rfam family "Bacterial small subunit ribosomal RNA", at positions 338 to 795 of the family's 1533-position model. The record is from RNAcentral.